This is a long non-coding RNA of Mauremys reevesii (Reeves's turtle), 728 nucleotides long. RefSeq lists it as uncharacterized. The transcript has 4 exons. Lineage: Eukaryota; Metazoa; Chordata; Testudines; Geoemydidae. The record is from RefSeq and is a predicted model, not a curated record.
AUCCGGUCUGGUCUGGUCCGGUCCGGUCCUGCUGCCAGGAGGUUAGGAGCAGCAGGACAGUUGAGCCUCACCAGGAGGAGAGGCUGCAUUCCUGCCCACAAGGGAGAAAAAUACUCUGAACAGGACUGGUGGAGAAAAGGAGCAGACUUCUUCUGUGUCCCAAGGGGGCCACAUUACCCAAGCCUGUCUCACCAGGGCUAAAAGCAGCAGAGGCUGGGGAGACCGAGAAGGUGCCUUGCCACAGCAGAUAUAAAACUCUGAUGCUGCACCCAGAUCAGAACCAUGGCUUGGAUGGCUAUAUUCCCGCAAGAUUGUAGCAUGAUCCCGGUUUUUCACUGGAGGUCAGUUUUGUUCUGCUUUGGGGAGCAAUAGGUCCUCAGGGCUCCUAGGACUGCUGUGAGGCUCGGGGCAGUGGUGAGUUUCAGCGUGCUGCACGCCUCUCUGCCUCGUUCCCUAACAAGUUAAUGUACCUUUACCACAGAGCCAGGGUGCUAGUACUGUGUCUUGAGGACAAGAAACCUGGCUGAGUGUCUGACACCAAAUUAUGCCAAUGGUCGUUCCUUCUGGGUAAUACUAUCAAGAUCGUCUGAACCAACUAUCUGAGCAGGUCUGGGACAGUAUAUGAAGAGAGAACAUGCCCACCUAACUGACAACAGGUGUAAACAAAAAUACAAUAACAUACUUCCUAGAGAUUCAAAUUUAUCUAUUCCCCCUGGAAACAAACCCUA